Molecule: ribosomal RNA, 253 nt
Filed under: uncultured bacterium
Lineage: Bacteria
Description: partial 16S ribosomal RNA
Rfam family: Bacterial small subunit ribosomal RNA
Source: RNAcentral
UACGGGGGGGGCAAGCGUUGUUCGGAAUUACUGGGCGUAAAGGGCGCGUAGGCGGUUGGAUAAGUCAGCUGUGAAAACCACGGGCUUAACUCGUGGCCUGCAGUUGAGACUGUCUGGCUUGAGUGUGGGAGAGGAGAGUGGAAUUCCUGGUGUAGCGGUGAAAUGCGUAGAUAUCAGGAGGAACACCGGUGGCGAAGGCGGGUCUCUGGGCCGUAACUGACGCUGAGGAGCGAAAGCAUGGGGAGCGAACAGG